Molecule: long non-coding RNA, 761 nt
Organism: Juglans microcarpa x Juglans regia
Lineage: Eukaryota; Viridiplantae; Streptophyta; Magnoliopsida; Fagales; Juglandaceae
Exons: 3
Source: RefSeq, a predicted model, not a curated record
AAUGACUACUGCAUGAUACUGAAUGCAUAGGACUACCAAAGGAGUAUGAGAAAGUCCACCAAAGGUAACUGACCAACACAACGGACGAAAAGGGCAAUGGGAAAAACUUGGGCUCUGAUUACCUGUUAUACUUUUCCUUUCACUUCCUGGGUAGCUGGCAUUUCUUCGACUCCAAGAUACUCAUACUUGUGCAGAAGUUGAAUGAGAAAAAGGUAGCUGAGAUGCAGGAUAGAUUCAAAGGAGCUGGCUAUUAACAUUAAAGUAGUAGUGGAGAGCAUUGUGCAUAGAGCUUGCCACCUUGGCGAGUAUCGUGAAAAGGGAAGUACUCACCACUGUGAAGAGCACCAUGGGAGGCAAAGUGUUUGCUCCCGGGUAAGCAAUCAAAAGUGCUUGCCACUAAGAAGAGCAUCAUGGGAGGUAAAGUACUCGUUACCUCGGCGAGUGCCCUAGAUGAAGCACAAUGCUCCUCACGUGAAGAGCAUGAAACUCAUCAUAUCGACUCGUGAAGAGGGAAAGUGGUAGCCCCGAGGCGAGCACCAUGGAGCAUCGUUGAAUGGAAAAGUGCUCCACCCAAGUGAGCACCACAUGAGUAAAAGUGCUACACACCUCGGCAAGAGCCAAGGGAGGCAAAUUGCUCCCCACCCCAGUGAGCACCAUGGGAGUCAAAAUGCUCCUCGCCCAAUUUCAGCACUAUGAGAGCAAAAAUGCUCGCCCCCAACCGAGCACCCUAGAGAGUAAGGCCUUGUUUGUGUAGGAUAAUC